Mus musculus (house mouse) is the source of this 72-nucleotide non-coding RNA. The record is from Rfam. Lineage: Eukaryota; Metazoa; Chordata; Mammalia; Rodentia; Muridae.
GUUUCUGUAGUGUAGUGGUUUCACAUUUGCCUCACAUGCAAAAGGUCCCCGGUUCUCAACCGGGCAGAAACA